RNAcentral lists this unclassified non-coding RNA (513 nucleotides) under Hevea brasiliensis (rubber tree). The record is from RNAcentral. Lineage: Eukaryota; Viridiplantae; Streptophyta; Magnoliopsida; Malpighiales; Euphorbiaceae.
AAGAAUCCUUAUGCUAAUGCCAAAGGCUUCUCUUGUGAUGUAUGCCGCAAGAUUGGAGUCAAGCAAUGGCUUUAUAGAUGUCCUGCUUGUGAGUUUGAUGUUCAUUUAGAUUGUUUAGCUUCUGCCCCUAGGCAGGAAGCUUCACAGUCAACUGCCCUCCAGCACCACCAUUCAUUCCCAGGGGCCACUAACCAAUUCCAGCAGGCUAUUAUGGGCACACAAGCAAGGUCACAUCAUUUUAUGCAUGCCGCAAGCACAGGUGCAAUAACUAACAACCAUUCCCUACAGCCUACAGUGUUUCAAGGACAAGCGAGGCCGAACCAGCUGUUUCAUAGUGCUAGUACAAGUGCAGUUCCGCAGCAACAGUUCCUGCAACCUCCUAAAAUUCAAGGACAAGCGAGGCCAAACCAGUUGUUUCAUAGUGCCAGUACAAGUGCAGUUCCGCAGCAACAGUUCCUGCAACCUCCUAAAAUUCAAGGACAAGCGAGGCCAAACCAGUUGUUUCAUAGUGCC